UGCCAGCAGCCGCGGUAAUACGGAGGGGGUUAGCGUUGUUCGGAAUUACUGGGCGUAAAGCGCGCGUAGGCGGCUUUGUAAGUCGGAUGUGAAAGCCCUGGGCUUAACCUGGGAAUUGCAUUCGAUACUGCAGAGCUAGAGUAUGGUAGAGGGAAGUGGAAUUUCCGGUGUAGCGGUGAAAUGCGUAGAUAUCGGAAGGAACACCAGUGGCGAAGGCGACUUGCUGGUCUAAUACUGACGCUGAGGUGCGAAAGCGUGGGGAGCAAACGGGAUUAGAUA
Molecule: ribosomal RNA, 279 nt
Filed under: uncultured bacterium
Lineage: Bacteria
Description: partial 16S ribosomal RNA
Rfam family: Bacterial small subunit ribosomal RNA
Source: RNAcentral